GUGGAUCUCUGGAGUGCAGGUUGUAUACUAGCUGAGUUAUUAGCCAGAAAGCCAAUAAUGCCAGGUCGUACUGAGGUAGAGCAGCUACAUAAGAUAUACAAGUUAUGUGGUUCACCUUCAGAUGAGUACUGGAAAAAGUCAAAAUUGCCUAAUGCAACUUUAUUUAGACCUCGGGAGCCUUACAAAAGAUGCAUAAGAGAAACAUUUAAAGAUUUUUCACCAUCGUCACUUCCCCUCAUAGAAACUCUUCUUGCAAUUGAUCCAGCUGAACG
Molecule: unclassified non-coding RNA, 272 nt
Filed under: Hevea brasiliensis (rubber tree)
Lineage: Eukaryota; Viridiplantae; Streptophyta; Magnoliopsida; Malpighiales; Euphorbiaceae
Source: RNAcentral